This is a long non-coding RNA of Penaeus monodon (black tiger shrimp), 644 nucleotides long. RefSeq lists it as uncharacterized. NCBI's taxonomy places the organism in Eukaryota, Metazoa, Arthropoda, Malacostraca, Decapoda, Penaeidae. The record is from RefSeq and is a predicted model, not a curated record. The transcript has 3 exons.
AUACUAUUUCAACAUAUUAUCUAUAUUACGUUCUCAGAGCUAUUGUUAUUAUUGUUGCUACUUUUGUUAAUGCUCCUAACGCUACUUUUAUGAUAAUUAUUGCAAUAACACUAAUGAUCUCUAUAGCUAUCACCACUAUAAUAAUCACAAUUACUUCCUAAAAGACUAUAUCAAACUCAGUACAAGUCACUACUAUUUACCUUUAUUGUCGCUGUUCCACUAGUGCUAUCCAAUAUACGUUCCUCUAAUAUAUACGUUGCUCUAAACCCCCAUGCUGUCUCGUGGGAAGAGGCGAGGGAUGAGGCACAGCUGAUCGGUACGAAAUCAGCUGUUCGCCGAAGUGCGACUUUUCGCUGCGAUUGGAAGUGUGAUGACUCGCUCACGUGACCUGCCUUGACCUGGGGCGAUUUAACCCUGACCUGACCUCGCCGAGAAGUCAAGACCGAAGGGAAUUUCUGACGUAAGGAGGAAAUUCGGCGUCAAGCAACCACCGGACCGAGAGACGUCUAUCCGCCUGCUUUGUGCUUGAAUUUUCAUUAAUAACCCGAUGUCUUUGUGAGAAUUUGUGAUUUAUUUUUCUCCCUUUCAUGGUAGAGUGUCUGCGUGAAUGGAGAAAUGCGCCAAAAUAAAACGUUUUCACUGGA